GUUUCUUUACUCUCUUGCCUUGAUGCUGGGAAGAUGCAAAUAGAUGAACCGGAGAGUCAGGGCCUGGUGAAUGGGCAAAAGAAAAUGAAAAGAAAAAAAGUCAUUGCAAGAGUCACACGCUGGCACAAUGUGCAUGGACACCUGAGAAGGAGAGGGGCAAGGAAAACCACUCUUUCUCAAAAAACUGUCUACCAGCUUUUGAAUUUCUUCUUGCCUGAAGUGUUCUUUCUUUCUUUCUUUUUUUGGUGAGGAAGACUGGUCCUGAGCUAACAUCUGUUGCCAAUCCUCCUCUUUUUGCUUGAGGAAGAUUGUCCCUGAGCUAAUAUCCGU
Molecule: long non-coding RNA, 330 nt
Filed under: Equus asinus (donkey)
Lineage: Eukaryota; Metazoa; Chordata; Mammalia; Perissodactyla; Equidae
Description: lncRNA (ENSEASG00005034937.1)
Source: RNAcentral